CAAAAUGAACAAAAAAACUUCCUCUAUAUUCUAAAGUUACCGCUUAUAAAAACCUUUGGUGUAAAUAGCAGCGAAAUUAUGGAGACGGGUUGUGUUUAGAUAGUUUAUUUCCUAUUUGCUUUGAACGGAGAAUAAUAAGUGCUGCAUUUGAUUCCAUGUAAAUAGGGCCAGGGAAUACUAAGACUACUGAAAGUGUUCUUGUCACGUCCUGAGAAUCCUUCUACAGAUGUAGGACGUCUAAAUGUAGAGCUCAAUCAACCUGAAGAUUCUCAACGGUUUUUUUCUGUUGACGGUGAAAUCGACAAAGAGUAGGCCUAUUUCCCUUGGAAGCAGAUCCGCAAAAAAUUUCAAUCGGCUUGAAAUCCAGGCCGCUCUAAAUAUGUCAAUAUUUUACCAUUUUGGCCGUGUACUUUCCAAGUUUCUUGUAAUAUGUAAUGCCAUUACCCUGUACUGUGGUGCAUCCGGCUGGAAGGCAUCUGAGAUCCUAUCUUACUGACGUGAACUUAUGCUUUGGAUGUCUUUAUGCUCCACAGCGUCUACAAUCCUGAAUGAAAUAUUUGGAGAUUGUAUAUCUUCAUCAUGUGAUGUGCAUGAAACGUACAAACUAUUAUAUCUUUCAUUAAUGAUUAGCUAGGCACUGCAUAGUAUAGUUAGAAAUUUCUUUUUUUAAAGUUGAGCAACGCUACAUUGAAUUUUUCUCUGUGAAUUUAAAUCAUAAUUAUUCCACUGGAUGUAGAGCCAAGUUACAUUUGGCCUUUCUAGUGUUUGUCGAGAAAGUUUUGCAGCGAUUCUCCAUUGCCAAAAAUGCAAAAAUGCUUCAGGUGUUAGAGGGGAAAACCUGUCACAUCUUUCUCAAGGUUCUGAAAUAAUUCUGCCGGCCGUCGUCCAUCAUCGGAUGGACACUCAUGAACAGGUUCCUCAUCUGCCUUCACAGUCCAUCAACAAUCAGGACGGCACCGAAUGGUUUCCCUGGCUGGAAGCCUGGACGCUUGAAAAUCAGCCGACUCGAAGUUCAAGCCGCUCUCAACUUGUCCGUCAACAUUCUGCCGUUUUGGCUGUGUACCCUUCCUGUGGCCUGCUAAGGCCUCUAUGCUAUUGUUUACUGGUGUUUGCGGCUGGAUGCCAACUGUGACAACAUUGUGGUAACAUGGAAUAUUAUAGCUUUUUAUGUAAUAUCUAUAAUCUAAUAUCAUGCUAAUAUGUUGUCUUUGUAAAAAGAAGAAGGUGAUGUGACAACAUUGGAACUAGUGUUUGAUAGUGUGAAUAUGCAGACGAAAAUUUUUUUCGUUGAGUGACAGGGAAAAAAUUCAAUCACCUUUAAAACAGUUCUUUGGAUUUUAAAGAUAUUUUUUUUAAAUUGCACGUUACUGCUACCUUAUUUGACUAACGGGUACGUGGUUGCACGAAAAGUAAGCACAACCAAUAAUAUUACAGAAAUGUGGUCGUCGUGUGAACUCCGUGGUGUGACUGACGAGGUUCUCCCUGCUCUCGUCUCCAUGCUAUUUGGCAGAUUUUAUGCCUGAACCAGCCAUCAUAACAACACAAUUUUCAAGAUUUACUUGUCAUGGUAUUGACCUGUCAUCAGCAGUAAUCUCAUUAUCACCGCUUGGAUAAACAGCACCCCAUUUGAUUGGAGGAACUACCGAUGUCAGUCAAGUUUCGGAUAUCUUCUUCUCCUUUCUUUAAAUCCCCUCUGUCCUCGUGUACGCCCAUGUGAGUGUGGGUGUAUUCACGAGUCCCUUUUUCCUAUCCCGCCUAGGCGGGUGGAUUGGUUGAUCCCCCAGCUGGUGGAUUCAACCUUUCAACGGAUGGAGCACCUGUGGAUGCCUGGCCGUAUUUCCCAGGCAUAAAGGUAGGGAAACUAUUUAUCUCUAUUCUUCCUUUAUUACUAUUUGCUGGUGUUUUUUUUUCAAUCGUGACAUAGUACGUAGCUAGGUUAUUCCUUCCUUAGCUAGGCGGUUGACUGGAACUGUCUUCACUUGCCGUUUUUGUUUACUCAGUCAGGAUUCAUUUUGAAAUAUUCAUUGGUAGAACGACUACAGAUCAGGCCCGUUGGUAGGAGUGUUGUAAAAAAUGUUAAAAAGUAUUCUUUUAUUUCUGAUAGUCAUGUAAUCGAUAUUUUAGCCAAUACGGAAGUUCUGUUGUAAGUGUAGGUGAUACCACAUAUACAAGCAAAGAAACAGCUCUUCAUUUAUUAAAAUGAUAUUUUCUUGGUCUUAAAAAAACGUGGCUUAAAACAAUUUUUGCUUUGAAUUUUUUUUUCGUGUUAUAUAUAAUAAGAAUCAUUCAGCUGUUAGCAU
This is a long non-coding RNA of Daphnia pulex (common water flea), 2300 nucleotides long. RefSeq lists it as uncharacterized. The transcript has 3 exons. Lineage: Eukaryota; Metazoa; Arthropoda; Branchiopoda; Diplostraca; Daphniidae. The record is from RefSeq and is a predicted model, not a curated record.